GACGAACGCUGGCGGCGUGCUUAACACAUGCAAGUCGAACGGAAAGGCCCUGCUUUUGUGGGGUGCUCGAGUGGCGAACGGGUGAGUAACACGUGAGUAACCUGCCCUUGACUUUGGGAUAACUUCAGGAAACUGGGGCUAAUACCGGAUCGGAGCUCCUGCUGCAUGGUGGGGGUUGGAAAGUUUCGGCGGUUGGGGAUGGACUCGCGGCUUAUCAGCUUGUUGGUGGGGUAGUGGCUUACCAAGGCUUUGACGGGUAGCCGGCCUGAGAGGGUGACCGGCCACAUUGGGACUGAGAUACGGCCCAGACUCCUACGGGAGGCAGUAGUGAGGAUUAUUGCACAAUGGACGGAAGCCUGAUGCAGCAACGCCGCGUGCGGGAUGACGGCCUUCGGGUUGUAAACCGCUUUCGCCUGUGACGAAGCGUGAGUGACGGUAAUGGGUAAAGAAGCACCGGCUAACUACGUG
RNAcentral lists this ribosomal RNA (468 nucleotides) under uncultured bacterium. RNAcentral describes it as "partial 16S ribosomal RNA". It matches the Rfam family "Bacterial small subunit ribosomal RNA", at positions 28 to 507 of the family's 1533-position model. The record is from RNAcentral.